Molecule: RNA transcript, 3397 nt
Organism: Paramisgurnus dabryanus
Lineage: Eukaryota; Metazoa; Chordata; Actinopteri; Cypriniformes; Cobitidae
Source: RefSeq, a predicted model, not a curated record
ACACCAGCCGCAUACAGUACAACAACAUGGGGAUGCGAAACUGAAAAACAUUUCGGAGCAAAGCGGGUUUAACGCAAUAACGACCAAAAUGUUACUUUUCACUGCAAAUGGAUCACGUCAGUCCAGGAUUGUUCAUUGAUUUUCGUCUCACAGACUCUCUGGAAGAUCAGGGAUGGCCAAUGUGUCACAUUUGGGAGUUUUGCUUUUUGUUGGAAUAACAGCUGCGAUGGCAAACUAUUUGUUAUCCACUCAACUUGUGAAAAACCCUACACAAUAUUUAAUGGGCAAAUCAUCCAGCGUGAGUCCAACACAGUUGAGUGACUCUGAUAAUAAAGUAUCAUGUUAUAUGUGCCAACGGAGGAGAGCCAAGAGAUGCACGUGUUACACGUACAAAGACAAGGAGUGUGUUUACUACUGUCACUUGGACAUCAUCUGGAUCAAUACACCAGAGCACACUGUCCUGUAUGGCAUAUCAAGUUAUAGGGGCUUCCAGCGGACACGCCGUUCUGCUGAGGGCAGCAGAGGAGGUCGACGGUGUGCUUGUGCCUUGCAGCAUGACCCAGAAUGUACUGCUUUUUGCAGAGAGAGGGCAUGUACAUCUAGGAUGCGAUCUAUCCAGAUGAGAUUCUCUCCAAUGCCAGGAAACCGACAGUGGAAGACACGAGCUAGCACUUCUUCCCCCACAUUGCCUCAGGCUUUUGAGAUACCCACUUAUAACUGCUUCUCCCCCCUAUGUUGGGAUCACCGGGGCCUCCAUCGCCCGGCAUGUACACGCUACAUCAGGUGUAGGUAAGACGCACACUCGCUGCUUCCCUGGUGCUUGUGUUCUCAAUGUUUCUGUGCAGGUGCCUGGGAUAAUGAAGACAAUUUGGCUUGUCAUGUUACACGCCAGGUGAACAACAUCAGAGUGCGGCAGUCAGAGAUCCUAAAGAAGGACUCCAUAUGUUUAGUCGAGACAGUACGCCGUACAUCUCUUACGACAAGGAUAUUUGUUUCAGGACCGCUUUCCCGAUACUGACAAGGACAUUUAACUCUUUCCCCGCCAUUGACGAGAUAUCUCGUCAAUUUAGAGAAAACGCUUCCCCGCCAAUGACGAGUUUUUUUUGUCUUUCCGCAAUACCGCUAUUUUCCACCAGGUGGCAACUCCGCAACUUUUUAAAACCGGAAGUAUUGCCCUAUGGCAAGCUGCUGCAUGUCCGUGUCUGUUCUAAAGAUCGCUCUGAAUGGGAUCUCUAUGAAAAGUCCGUCACAAAUAUGGAAUUAUUUUUGCUUUUUGCUCAAAAUAUGGUGUUUUUGCAAAAACCUACCCAUAUUCAAAAGCUGAUUGCAAAAGAACCACUAAAGGUAGGAUGAAACGUUUUUUUUUGUUUGAAAGCAGAGGGUCUGUUCUUUCAUUUGGUAUAUUGUAUGUUUAUUUAUUUAAAGAAGAACAUUUUCUGGAAGGCAUUAAACUUUGGUGAAAAUCAUGAAAAACGCUGGCGCUGGCUGGCAACUUUUUUUAAAAACGCUGGCGGUGAAAGAGUUAAGGUUCAAUGGACAACUUGCUUUCAAUGAAUGGUUAAUGUCUGUAGCCCUUUUCACACACAUAUGGAAAAAAUACAGAGUACACAUCUGGGAGUUGUUUGGGAUUAUUUUAUUUUGGUUAAUUCACGCUGCCAAUAGUUUUCUGGAUUUGUUUGUGCUUUCACACACAUGCCAUAAAGACAUGACAUAUUUAAAGUCUUGCACUUGGUAGGUUUUUUGUAGUAUCUUUAGUUUGCUUAUCCGUGAUUUCUCUCUCGAGAAACCACAUGUGUAUUUUUUUGUUUAUGAUAAGAUCAUAAAGGAGUGCGUUACACCAGUGCUUCCCAAUCCUGGUCUUCGAGCACCCCCUCCCAAAAAGUUUUAGAUGUCUCCUUAUUUAACUUAUCAGCUUGUUGGGGAGACAUGUUUACCAUUUUGGAAGGAGGCUGAUAAGUUGAAUCAGGUGUUUUAAAUAAGUUUUUGGGAGGGGGUGCUCGAGGACCAGGAUUGGGAAGCACUGCAUUACACGCUGUUUUGUUAUGCUGGUGAAUGUUCAUAGCUGAUAGUGACGAGCCCCCUGAUUUCUUCUUCAAUCCAGUUUGCAGAUAUUUCUCAUUGUGAAUGUUAAUCUGCAUUUAAAUCUGCCAUGUCAAAGGGGAAAAGGCUAUAUUUUUGUCGUGAUGACACAAUAUUUAUGUUGACUAAUUACCGACAUUGAAAUUGACACCGCCGAUUCUAUCGACCAAACGCAACAGCUCUAAGUCUAGCAUACACAUAAUUGCAUUCAAAAACCUUUGCCUCAGGUUAUAAAUAACUUAUUACACGGCUCUCUGGAAUGCUUGAUUCUGAUGGGUCAGUUGAGACAUUUGCAGGUUCGUUCUUUUCAAAUAAUAACCGCUCCAAAAUAAUAACGCAUAGCCGGACUACUUGCACGAGUAAAAUCGCUCCGCGCCAAUAAAGAUCAAUAAAGAUUACUGUCUGUUUGGCGCCAUCUUGUGACAAACACUCGACAACCACGACAAGACACAGAGAGCUUACUGAGACUGAACUUGACAAAAUAGAGCAUGACAGCUACGAAGCCAACACACAAAAAAAGACAGAAUGGGCAUUAAAACUUCUCAAAGACUGGCUAAAAGAGAAAAAAUGGAGACAGACAAUGAAGCAGAGGAUCUUAAUAAGGUAUUACGAUCAUUUUAUGCAUCUGUGCAAAGUUUCGCGGAAGGAUAAAAAUGUUAAUUUAAAACAAAUAUGCCAAUAAAAUGUUUCAAAUUCAUAUUCAUGUCCAGUUUUUUUUCUUAUGUGGCAAGUAGCCGUGUAAUAAGCGAGAUCAUGUCAUCUUCCCCUCGCUUAAAUGUUUACAUUAACAGAAUUUUUUUUACCAGGGGUGCCCAAACUUGUGCAUGUCACUGUACUGAUAUAUACUAUACAAAUAAUGUAAGUUGAAUUUACUUAUUUGAAAUACAUUAUACAAAGCACUACACUGCAAUGUUGUUUUUAACGUUUGUGCGUAAUAUAUUAUUUUUUGUCUUUUUCAUUCAUUAGAUUUUCAGUAGUCCGUGUCAAAUUUUAUUUCAAAGUAAGAUAGCUUUACAUGUCUUUCAUUGUGCUUCACAGGCCCUGUUUAUGUUCUUAACCGGCAUAAGUUUAUUUAUUGUGAUAUACACAAAACAAGAUAUUUUGAUAAAUGAUGUUAAGUACACAGCUGCUCAUUUACUUCAAUAAAAUGUCUUUUUCCUAUUAUGGAAGUCAAUGGGUACCAUCAACUGUAUGAUUGACAUCAUUUAUCAGAUUAAAGAAUUUUUGGCAAGUUUAUAACAACAUGAAGUGUUUGGGUGAGAUCUAGACCGAGGACUAAGGCGUAUACUAGGACAGAACUAAGUGUUGUGGCCCACAG